Acipenser ruthenus (sterlet) is the source of this 454-nucleotide long non-coding RNA. RefSeq lists it as uncharacterized. Lineage: Eukaryota; Metazoa; Chordata; Actinopteri; Acipenseriformes; Acipenseridae. The transcript has 3 exons. The record is from RefSeq and is a predicted model, not a curated record.
GUUAUUGUUAUUCCUCUCCCAGAACAUCUAGAGCUACAAAACUGAUGUUAUUAUUCUUACAUUUUUUAGACAACAAAGAUCUUUAGAACUACUGAAAACAUUGGAAAAAGAGAAAACGUCAAAGGAAAGUAGGAAAGAAAGAAAAAGAAAAGACAUAUCCCAAUGAGGAGGAUUGUUUCCUGAAUUCUGACAGCGAGAAUGUAAGAAUUCCAUUUAAAAAAUUAAGAAAACGAGUGUCAGAAAACAGCACAGCAGCUUGGAGAAGCAGUUAGAGCCUGAAGAAAAUCAAGUUCUUCAAGCGAAGAUCUUGAAGAAAGUGAUUGUAAAUUGGGUAUCAGUGUAGGAAAAGACCAGCUACAUAAUAAAGUUGUUCUUAAAUUUGAGAAUGCAAGUCUGAAGAAAGAAAAUAAUGAGCUUAAAAGAAAAGUGGAAAGCCUGACAAGCACAAUUGCUC